CCUACGGGCGGCAGCAGUGGGGAAUAUUGGACAAUGGGGGCAACCCUGAUCCAGCCAUGCCGCGUGUGUGAAUAAGGCCCUCGGGUUGUAAAGCACUUUCAGUGAGGAAGAACGCCUGGUGGUUAAUACCCAUCAGGAAAGACAUCACUCACAGAAGAAGCACCGGCUAACUCCGUGCCAGCAGCCGCGGUAAUACGGAGGGUGCGAGCGUUAAUCGGAAUUACUGGGCGUAAAGCGCGCGUAGGUGGCUUGAUAAGCCGGUUGUGAAAGCCCCGGGCUCAACCUGGGAACGGCAUCCGGAACUGUCAAGCUAGAGUGCAGGAGAGGAAGGUAGAAUUCCCGGUGUAGCGGUGAAAUGAGUAGAGAGCGGGAGGGAUACCAGUGGCGAAGGCGGCCUUCUGGACUGACACUGACACUGAGGUGCGAAAGCGUGGGUAGAAAACAGGAUUAGAUACCCGUGUAGUC
Molecule: ribosomal RNA, 465 nt
Filed under: Vreelandella stevensii
Lineage: Bacteria; Pseudomonadati; Pseudomonadota; Gammaproteobacteria; Oceanospirillales; Halomonadaceae
Description: partial 16S ribosomal RNA
Rfam family: Bacterial small subunit ribosomal RNA
Source: RNAcentral